RNAcentral lists this ribosomal RNA (248 nucleotides) under uncultured Oscillospiraceae bacterium. RNAcentral describes it as "partial 16S ribosomal RNA". It matches the Rfam family "Bacterial small subunit ribosomal RNA", at positions 92 to 339 of the family's 1533-position model. Lineage: Bacteria; Bacillati; Bacillota; Clostridia; Eubacteriales; Oscillospiraceae. The record is from RNAcentral.
UUAGUGGCGGACGGGUGAGUAACGCGUGAGUAACCUGCCUUGGAGUGGGGAAUAACACAACGAAAGCUGUGCUAAUACCGCAUAAUGCAGCUGAGUCGCAUGGCUCUGGCUGCCAAAGAUUUAUCGCUCUGAGAUGGACUCGCGUCUGAUUAGCUGGUUGGCGGGGUAACGGCCCACCAAGGCGACGAUCAGUAGCCGGACUGAGAGGUUGGCCGGCCACAUUGGGACUGAGACACGGCCCAGACUCC